AAACCAACAGGGAUUGCCCUAGUAACGGCGAGUGAAGCGGCAACAGCUCAAAUUUGAAAUCUGGCUCUUUCAGAGUCCGAGUUGUAAUUUGCAGAGGGCGCUUUGGCGUUGGCAGCGGUCCAAGUUCUUUGGAACAGGACGUCACAGAGGGUGAGAAUCCCGUACGUGGUCGCUAGCCUUCGCCGUGUAAAGCCCCUUCGACGAGUCGAGUUGUUUGGGAAUGCAGCUCUAAAUGGGAGGUAAAUUUCUUCUAAAGCUAAAUACUGGCCAGAGACCGAUAGCGCACAAGUAGAGUGAUCGAAAGAUGAAAAGCACUUUGGAAAGAGAGUCAAAUAGCACGUGAAAUUGUUGAAAGGGAAGCGCUUGCAGCCAGACUUGCCUGUAGUUGCUUAUCCAGACUUCUGUCUGGUGCACUCUUCUGCGGGCAGGCCAGCAUCAGUUUGGGCGGUUGGAUAAAGGUCUCUGUCAUGUACCUCCUUUCGGGGAGGCCUUAUAGGGGAGACGUCAUGCAACCAGCCUGGACUGAGGUCCGCGCAUCUGCUAGGAUGCUGGCGUAAUGGCUGUAAGCGGC
RNAcentral lists this ribosomal RNA (571 nucleotides) under Shiraia sp. JP119. Its description in RNAcentral is "eukaryotic LSU rRNA". It matches the Rfam family "Eukaryotic large subunit ribosomal RNA", at positions 62 to 648 of the family's 3401-position model. The record is from RNAcentral. Lineage: Eukaryota; Fungi; Ascomycota; Dothideomycetes; Pleosporales; Shiraiaceae.